This 445-nucleotide ribosomal RNA is filed under the name Gymnopleurus virens. Its description in RNAcentral is "partial 16S ribosomal RNA". It matches the Rfam family "Bacterial large subunit ribosomal RNA", at positions 1816 to 2525 of the family's 2925-position model. The record is from RNAcentral. Lineage: Eukaryota; Metazoa; Arthropoda; Insecta; Coleoptera; Scarabaeidae.
CAUGUCUUUUUGAAUAUAAUUUAAAGUCUGACCUGCCCUAUGAAUUUUUAAAUGGCUGCGGUACUCUGACCGUGCAAAGGUAGCAUAAUAAUUAGUUUUUUAAUUGAGAACUGGAAUGAAAGGUCGAACGAGAAAAAGACUGUCUCAAUUUAAUUUUUAUUAGAAUUUUAUUUUUAAGUAAAAAAGCUUAAAUAUUAUUAAAAGACGAGAAGACCCUAUAGAGUUUUAUAAUUUUAUAUAUAAUUGAAAGUUAAAGUAUUAUAGAUUUGAUUAUAUAUAAAAUUAUUUGGUUGGGGCGACUAAAAAAUUAAUUAAACUUUUUUUAUUUAUAAACAUUGAUAUAUGAUUAAGUGAUCCAUAAUGAUAUGAUUAUAAGAUUAAAUUACCUUAGGGAUAACAGCGUAAUUUUUUUUGAGAGUUCUUAUCGAAAAAAAAGUUUGCGACC